RNAcentral lists this ribosomal RNA (483 nucleotides) under uncultured bacterium. RNAcentral describes it as "partial 16S ribosomal RNA". It matches the Rfam family "Bacterial small subunit ribosomal RNA", at positions 30 to 506 of the family's 1533-position model. The record is from RNAcentral.
AUUGAACGCUGGCGGCAGGCCUAACACAUGCAAGUCGAGCGGAUGAAGGGAGCUUGCUCCUGGAUUCAGCGGCGGACGGGUGAGUAAUGCCUAGGAAUCUGCCUGGUAGUUGGGGAUAACGUCCGGAAACGGGCGCUAAUACCGCAUACGUCCUGAGGGAGAAAGUGGGGGAUCUUCGGACCUCACGCUAUCAGAUGAGCCUAGGUCGGAUUAGCUAGUUGGUGGGGUAAAGGCCUACCAAGGCGACGAUCCGUAACUGGUCUGAGAGGAUGAUCAGUCACACUGGAACUGAGACACGGUCCAGACUCCUACGGGAGGCAGCAGUGGGGAAUAUUGGACAAUGGGCGAAAGCCUGAUCCAGCCAUGCCGCGUGUGUGAAGAAGGUCUUCGGAUUGUAAAGCACUUUAAGUUGGGAGGAAGGGCAGUAAGUUAAUACCUUGCUGUUUUGACGUUACCAACAGAAUAAGCACCGGCUAACUUCGU